This 306-nucleotide unclassified non-coding RNA is filed under the name plant metagenome. RNAcentral's name for it is "partial contains 5.8S ribosomal RNA, internal transcribed spacer 2, and large subunit ribosomal RNA". The stretch from base 1 to 105 matches the Rfam family "5.8S ribosomal RNA", at positions 50 to 154 of the family's 154-position model. The record is from RNAcentral.
GAAAUGCGAUAAGUAAUGUGAAUUGCAGAAUUCAGUGAAUCAUCGAAUCUUUGAACGCACAUUGCGCCCGCCAGUAUUCUGGCGGGCAUGCCUGUCCGAGCGUCAUUUCAACCAUCAAGCCCCCGGGCUUGUGUUGGGGACCUGCGGCUGCUCGCAGGCCCUGAAAACCAGUGGCGGGCUCGCUGUCACACCGAGCGUAGUAGCAAUCACCUCGCUCAGGGCGUGCUGCGGGUUCCGGCCGUUAAACAGCCUUACAAAACCCAAGGUUGACCUCGGAUCAGGUAGGAAGACCCGCUGAACUUAAGC